UACGUAGGGGGCAAGCGUUGUCCGGAAUCAUUGGGCGUAAAGAGCGUGUAGGCGGUUCAGUAAGUCUGCUGUGAAAGUCCAGGGCUCAACCCUGGGAUGCCGGUGGAUACUGCUGGGCUAGAGUACGGAAGAGGCGAGUGGAAUUCCCGGUGUAGCGGUGAAAUGCGCAGAUAUCAGGAGGAACACCGGUGGCGAAGGCGGGUCUCUGGGCCGAAACUGACGCUGAGGAGCGAAAGCGUGGGGAGCAAACAGG
This 253-nucleotide ribosomal RNA is filed under the name uncultured bacterium. Its description in RNAcentral is "partial 16S ribosomal RNA". It matches the Rfam family "Bacterial small subunit ribosomal RNA", at positions 524 to 776 of the family's 1533-position model. The record is from RNAcentral.